This 406-nucleotide unclassified non-coding RNA is filed under the name uncultured Rhizophagus. Its description in RNAcentral is "sequence contains 28S rRNA gene". The record is from RNAcentral. Lineage: Eukaryota; Fungi; Glomeromycota; Glomeromycetes; Glomerales; Glomeraceae.
AGUUAAAUAGUACGUGAAAUUGUUGAAAGGGAAACGAUUGAAGCCAGUCGUACCUAUGGGUAAUCAGCCUUUUGGGUGUGAUUUUGUGGAGCGUGAGGAGUUAAACGCCUUCAUGCCUGCAUAUUCGUGCACUUUGGGUGUACUUGCCCGUAUGGUUGGUUAACAUCAAUUUUGGUGGUCAUAAAAUGACUGGAGGAAUGUAGCUUCGAUCUCGUAUUGAAGUGUUAUAGCCUUCGGUAGAUGUGAUGAUCGAGAUUGAGGAUUGCAACGGAUACCCUUCGGGGCUACCUGUCUGAUCUCUGAUCGUUGCUCUGGUGCCGAAAGCUUGCUUACGGUUAUCAAAGUCGAUGGUCAAUAGGUUAGAACGGGUUAAAUUCGUUAAGGAUGUUGACGUAAUGGCUUUAAA